Nothoprocta perdicaria is the source of this 225-nucleotide long non-coding RNA. RefSeq lists it as uncharacterized. The transcript is spliced from 4 exons. The record is from RefSeq and is a predicted model, not a curated record. NCBI's taxonomy places the organism in Eukaryota, Metazoa, Chordata, Aves, Tinamiformes, Tinamidae.
AGCUGUAAGGACCUGGCAAUUGUUGGAUAUGGGAAUUCCCAAUUCAAGUGACUUCAUAUGAAGGGACAGAAUAUGCUAUCAAUCAUCACCCAUGACUGACAUGGGAACACUGCAUCUGGCUAAUAGGAGAGAGUUCUGUGGACUUUCAAGAAGAUUGACUGUUUUCAGAAAAGCAGAGGUGCCUAUUUAAUCAAGUACAAUUGGUCUUGCACUGAAGAGGGAAAU